UACGUAGGGACCAAGCGUUGUCCGGAAUCAUUGGGCGUAAAGAGCGUGUAGGCGGCCUGUUAAGUCUUGCGUGAAAUCUCGGGGCUCAACCCCGAGCGGUCGUGAGAAACUGGCAGGCUAGAGUGCGGGAGAGGAGAGUGGAAUUCCUGGUGUAGCGGUGAAAUGCGCAGAUAUCAGGAAGAACACCCGUGGCGUAGGCGGCUCUCUGGACCGAGACUGACGCUGAGGCGCGAAAGCGUGGGGAGCAAACAGG
RNAcentral lists this ribosomal RNA (253 nucleotides) under uncultured bacterium. RNAcentral describes it as "partial 16S ribosomal RNA". It matches the Rfam family "Bacterial small subunit ribosomal RNA", at positions 524 to 776 of the family's 1533-position model. The record is from RNAcentral.